UUGUGUCCUCUUUGUCAAGGUGCGUAUUGUGUUUUGUGUGUCCUCUUUGUCAAGGUGCGUAUUGUGUUUUGUGUGUCCUCUUUGUCAAGGUGCGUAUUGUGUUUUGUGUGUCCUCUUUGUCAAGGUGCGUAUUGUGUUUUGUGUGUCCUCUUUGUCAAGGUGCGUAUUGUGUUUUGUGUGUCCUCUUUGUCAAGGUGCGUAUUGUGUUUUGUGUGUCCUCUUUGUCAAGGUGCGUAUUGUGUUUUGUGUGUCCUCUUUGUCAAGGUGCGUAUUGUGUUUUGUGUGUCCUCUUUGUCAAGGUGCGUAUUGUGUUUUGUG
Molecule: long non-coding RNA, 318 nt
Organism: Oncorhynchus keta (chum salmon)
Lineage: Eukaryota; Metazoa; Chordata; Actinopteri; Salmoniformes; Salmonidae
Exons: 3
Source: RefSeq, a predicted model, not a curated record